AGCCUGAGCCUCGAUGGAAUUGGGUUCGGAGUCCGGCCGAGUUGGCCCUGUCGCCUGCGCCUUGCCUGGCCUCAACCAUGCCCUGACAGGGAUUGAGAAACGGAAAUUUCACCACCCUCCAGCCAAACUUUCGAGGACUGAUUGCAGAGGAACUGGUGCUCCAGAUGUUGCACUAGAGGCGCUGCAAGUGUGAGCAGAUGGCAGUAGACCUACCUCACAAGUGGGAGCAGAUAUUCUCAAUGUUUCUAUUGAAAUAUCUUUAUUUCCAUUUGCAAGAGGAGCUCUGGAGCCUCAUUCUUGUGGUAGCUACCAAGUUCUGAUAUAAGCUGUUUUCAUCAGGGAACUUUGGCAAGAGAAUGGCUGGAUCAGCAAGUCCAUCUCCAUAAUGGAACAACAACUUGAAGCUCAUCUCUGUUGAUGAUGUACAGUCUGUAGGAUGGGGGUAGACUGAAUACCUGCUUCACGGAAUACUUGCUUCAAAUCACCUUUCACAUCUUCUUGUUGGAAAGACAAUCAUUGGAGAAUCGUCUUGUUACUGUCAGCAAAACUGAAAAGAAAUCAAGACAUUAAGAAUGCCACAGUGGCCAGCAGUUAAUGAUGCCAGUGUUAUGCAAGCUUCGGCAAAGGAAUUUUUUUCAAGACAGCGUGCCUCACUAGCCAGAAAUCAGGAAAGGUCGAACCUAUCCUUUUUAUCUCAGCUGUUUCUUCAGUCAGUGCAGCCCCUCCUAAUUAAAGUGAAUUGAAACAUGCAUUGCCUUUUCAGCUUAAUUGAGUACUUACUAUGUGUGAAUCACUGCACAGAAUAGGGGAGGGAAAAUGAGGGAGACAAAUAAGAUAUUGUCCCUGCCUUCACUGGAUUUACAGUUAGUUUAAGGGCUUUUUUUGUCUUCUGCUCUUAAUUAAGUGUAUCCCUAAGACAGGAAAUGAAUGGAAAAGUGUAUUCUGUAAGUAUUUGAAAUCUCCUUAAUAUAAGACGAAAUAAAAACUAAUGUGAGCAACUCAGGACAUUUUAAUUCCACUUUCUUUGGACUUCUGAGAGGACCCAUUUUACUGAUUCUAUAUACAUUCGGUAGACUUUAGAGAUAUUAACAAAUUGUGGAUGAAGUGAAUUUGAAUAAAUUUUUUUCUUCCCU
This 1133-nucleotide long non-coding RNA is filed under the name Sus scrofa (pig). Its description in RNAcentral is "lncRNA (ENSSSCG00000051601.2)". Lineage: Eukaryota; Metazoa; Chordata; Mammalia; Artiodactyla; Suidae. The record is from RNAcentral.